This 6861-nucleotide long non-coding RNA is filed under the name Sorghum bicolor (sorghum). RNAcentral describes it as "long non-coding RNA (SBIC_LNC014032)". The stretch from base 4729 to 4835 matches the Rfam family "Plant small nucleolar RNA R71". Lineage: Eukaryota; Viridiplantae; Streptophyta; Magnoliopsida; Poales; Poaceae. The record is from RNAcentral.
GAUCGGAGGCUUCUUCUCCCUUGAUGGAACAAUGAAUUAGGGUUGAGAGGCUCUCUCCUCCAGGGGCCAGGGGGUCUGGUUUUAUAGUCCCUUCAAGUGAAUAUGGGCCCUUGGAUCAAACCGACAUAGAUUGUAUGGUUUAGAUUCAUCCUUUAGGUCGGUGGAGAUCUCCCGCAAAGCAGAGUCCUGAUUGGACUCAGGGGCAGGGCGGGCGCCCUGACCAACUGGGCGGCCGCCCAGGGUCUGGCCCCGUUUCGCCUCCGCUUCGGUCUCGUGGCUUCUGGAGUCUUCUAGAUGUAAGAUAAUUGCGCAGCACGUUAAUACCUUUACGUAACCCUGACAUGUGGGCCUUUCUUCCGUAUUUCCUGAUAACCCCCUACAGAAAUAGACAAACACCAAAACUCGUGGAAUUCUGUCAGAUAAAACCCUAAGUCUGGAUCUUGAUUCCAUUUGGAUCCUUUUCUUUAUUUAUUUGAUAAUUAAAUUUGAUACUUAAGGACCGUCAACAAACUCCCCCAAGCUUACCUCUUGCUCGUCCCUGAGCAAGGAUAGACUCAGCUAUGGAUCAUAAGUUGUUGCAAUAUAUUUAAAAAUUUGACGGUACACAUGCUUUUUAAAUAAAAUCUCAUCUCUGAGUUAGAGUAAACUGUCAAGACUUAAAACUUACUUACUUUACCUUCACCAUGGGACUUGUAACUGUCACUUCUGUCUUGAGUGGUUAAAAGAUAGAACAGUCUAGCCAAGUGCCAUGUCUCUUAUUCUUGAUCAGCUAUAGCUCUGGGGUUUUUGUAGAUUUUCAAAUAAAACUCAGAGAUUCCUUGUAUGAUUCUCUCAGGUCUCUCUUUUGUGGUAUUUUUGGAUCCUUACCAAGGCAUUGAUGGUAUAUGCCUUCUCUCAAGAUAUGUGGUAUUUGUGGUAUGAGGCAUAGUGACAUUGCCUUCUCUCUCAUCCUAUUCUAAUAAGGCUUUAAUAUCUGGAGCUCAUAGGUGGGAGAUAAAAUAUACAUACUUACAAGACAUUUAUUGCAUAGUCAAACCAUGGAUCCAAAGUAACAAGUCAAUAAGUUUAAUCAAGAUGUGCAUGUGUGGCGAAUGAAUGGUAUAUGGUGAUGAUGGUAAUAACAAUGGUGAAAAUAAUGGUGGUGGAAGUCUAAUUCUACUUUUGCUCUUUGAGGGGAUACAUACCUUCCUUGCUUUUGAAACUUUAUAAGGAGAAUGAGAUGCUCUUCUUUUUCUUUUCUCUCAGGUGGGUAUCUUGCACCCCUAAUUCUACUAUCGGACACUUGUCCAUUUUUACCUCUCGUCUCACUUUUUCUUUUCUUUCGAGGUUCCGAGCACUUGCUCCUUUUUAUUUCCUCGUAUUAUUUCUCCCUUUUUUCUCUCUCUUUUUUUUAGAGCAUUCAUCUCUUGAGAUAAUAUAGCAAGUGGUAGUAACAAGAUAACUUGAGCAUUUACUUCACAAGGGAAAACAGAAAUAUUUUUGGUUAUUCUCUCCCGGAUUAGGAGUAGAAUAGUUUCAGGUGGUUCUGGAGAUGGAAUGGGUGGAUAUAUGUGGAUGGUACUUCCGGAAUAGAAGUAGCAUAUAUGAGUGAACGUGCAAGUGAAAUCUUGAUUUAACCACAUGACAAGCUCCUAAGGGUCUACACAGCUUGACCACACUCAAUGCUCAUAAGCAGUAAAUAAUAAAUGUGUGGCUCAAAGUCUAGCAAGCAUGCAUAUAUGGCUGUGGUAGGAAUUUAAACUCUCAUCAUACAGGAACUCAUCAUGCAACAUUUUAAAGAUUUUUAAAGAUAAAAUUCUCCAGAAUUUUAGCAUCUCUAGGAACAGAUAAAUAGUAGCUCAACCCUCCCAUAUCAUAUCCGUUAACAGCUUAGACUUCACAUCAAGUUUUCAUCCCACAAGUUUAGGUCUAGAGCAAGCUUUAAAUUAUAACAGUUAUAUCUAAACUUGAGAGAGAACUUAAAAUUUGCAAAUUAGGCAGAGCAACUAUUUAUCAUAUCUAUGCUUAAGUUUUAUUUAGAUACAGAUUAGCAUAGCCACUUUAUUUAUUUAUUAAACACACUAAGCAAAAGACAUAUAUAUAUAUAUAAGCAUAAAAUCUUUAUUUGGUUUUUCCUAGUUUUUGUAUUCUAAUAUUCUAAAAUAAUAUAAGUAUAAAGAUAGAUAGAAAUACUUAUCGAGAUAAAUGGGGGUGCUCUCCCCCAAGCUGAAUUUUGACGUAAUUUCUCUUGAUGUAGCUAGCAGGUGGCAGAGGUGUAGUUGAAAGUCAGCAGCAUUCUGACAGCGAUUAGAAUGUCCUCCGUCUGCUAGUCUUCUUGGUUCUUAAAUUCUGUGGAGCUCAAAUAGACAACAAAGCUUGUGGAACUGAUUAAGUGUUAGCAUAAAUAUCUAGCCUUUAUCAUCUUGAGACUCCUUAGUAAAUAUUACUCCCUGUUUUUAUAUUUUUAUUUUUAUAGAGCAGAAAAAUAAUUAUUUUAUUUUUAUGCCACCACAGUGAAUGUACUUAUGGGUUUUAUGCCACUCGUCUACUCACAUGGGGCUUACUGUUUUUCACAUUUUUAUUUUCUUUUAUUUUUAAGAUAGUAUGAAUAUGAUUAACUAAGUAAACUAUUUAAAAUAAUUGAAAGGGAAAGGAUAACUACCAAGUUUACCUCUUGGCAAGGCGUUCGGUGUUUUUAAGUCCUCCAAACGGGACUCUCCAUUUUCUCAAUUGUCCUGAGGUUCGUUGGGUGGCGUAGUCGGUACUUCCGGCAGCGCCUCCUCUUCUUGUAUAGUUAUCUUCAUUUUCCAUACCUGACUCGGUGCUUCAAUCUCCUCUGGAUAAUUCUGUUUAAACUCUACAUCUUCUGACCUUACAACUUCUCCUUCAUAGUCUGCCCAUCCGUCCUUGAUGAUAUGCCUUCUCUGGUUGCGGUUGCGUCUUUUUCUGACCUGCUUAGAUUCUUCAACGAUAUAGUUAGGGUCAGUAAAAUAACGGCGUACCUUCUCUGAGGGGAAGUGCAUAUGGACUUCUCCGGUUCCAAUGUAGAUAAUUGCUUUAACGGUGCUGAGGAACGGUCUUCCAAGGAUGAUGGGUGGAUCAUAUUCGUCUUCUCCCAUGUCAACAACUUGAAAGUCAGUGUAGACAAAGUGAUCGUCUAUUUUGACUGGGACAUCAGAUACUAUUCCUUUAACUUCUCGAAAUGUCUGAUCUGCCAUCUGGAGGUGAAUGUAUGUUGGUCUUAGUGGCAUGGUCCCGAACAAGAGCCGAUAGGUGACUGCGGCCAUUAUGUUGACGCCUGAUCCGGUGUCGCAAAUCGUCUUGUAGAAGUUGUAUCCAUUUAUGGAGCAGUAAAUGCUUGGCAUUCCUGGGUCGUCCUUCUUGGUCAAGAACGGUGACUUAAGUUGGUGAUCUUGGCCUCCAUGGACUACAGUGACCAUCUUCGCUGACUCGGUCCACACUUGCUUGUUCCUGUUUCUCCUAUUGGUCCUCUUCCUUGAUUUACAUCUGGAUUGAUCUUGAAUUUGUGUAGUCUUGUUCUUGAAGAAAAAUGUCUCCUUCUUCCCUUUGACGUAGAAACUGAUCUUGGCAGCACUGGCGUAGAUGAUAGCUCCCGUGGUGUUCAAGAAUGGCCUCCCUAAGAUGAUAGGUGCUCUCUCAUCAUUUCCGGUCUCUACCACUACGAAGUCUGCUGGUGCAUACAAGGUACCAACUCGGACACAAAGGUUCCUCACUAUUCCUUUUGGAAAAGUUAUCGUCUGAUCUACAAACUGCAAACACAUGGUUGUCUCUAAUAAAGGAUAUGUAAAGAAUUUUUCAUAGAGUACCCUGGGUAUAAUGUUGACGCUAGAGCCAAAGUCACAGAGUGCUUCUGGGACAUCCACCAUGCCGAUGGAGAUCGGGAUGACGGGGCGUCCUGGAUCUCCUCUCUUGACCGGCAGACGGUCAGUAGAAAAUUAAUUGACGGGGUUACUCCAAUUACCUGCAUCAAACACGUCUACAAGAUUUGCAGAUUCUAAUCCUUCCGGUUGUGAUGGUAUACCGGGGUUAGUAGUAGGAACAGCAGCAGCUAAUUGAUUUAACUGAGAUUCAAUCAUUUUAUUAAAGCUAAUUUGAUUCUUGAUGGCAGUAGAAAAAUUAUCCAUUCUAUUAUUUAUAUUUUCUAGCAUUUUAUCAUUAGAUGCCAAUUUCUUAGAUAGGUUAUCCAUUAGCUUGCCUUGAUUAGACACUAACUCUCUCAAAGGUGGAAAAUUAUUAUUGUUGUUGUAAGAAUUGUUACCUUGAUAAUUACCUGAGUAGUUAGGCCUCUGUUGAUUCCAACCUUGAUUUUGUUGAGGACGGUUGUAGUUGUUGUUGUUGUUGUUGUUGAUGUAGUUCACAUCCUCAAGUAUCUCAGGGCAGUGGUUGCCUGAGUGUCCACUGUCUCCACACUCCUCACAAGUCAUGUGAGAGUCGUAGAUGUGCAUAACUUCUUUCUUGUCUCCAGCUCUAUCGUCGAGCUUCUUCAUGAGCAGGUCUAGCUUUGCAGACAGCAUGUCUACCUCCUUCAGCUGAUGCAUACCUCCACCUCUCUUGCGUGUCUGGGUCCUCUCUUCAUUCCAGCUUUGGUUGGACGCCAUCUUCUCCACAAGAGUUGUGGCUUGUGAUAUAGUAAGCGAUAAGAAUGCUCCUCCAGCUGCAGCAUCAAUAGUCUCUCGGGCACUGUUGCUGAGCCCAUGAUAGAAUGUCUGCAUCAAUAGCCAACUUUCCAUUCCAUGAUGGGGACAUUCUAGGAUGUAGUCUUGAAAGCGCUCCCAUGCUUCUGGAACAGAUUCAUCAUUUUGUUGCUGAAAACUUGUAAUCUUCCCACGGAGAGCAUUGGUCUUGCCCAUGGGAAAGAACUUAGCCAGGAAGUUUAUUGAGCAGAGUGCCCACGUAGUAUUCUUCUCCUUUGUAGCAUAGAACCACUGCUUCGCUCUUCCUAACAGUGAGAAUGGGAAGAGGCGAAGUAGUAUAGCGUCUUUGGAAACUCCUGCUAUGGUGAAUGUGUUGCAAAUCUCCAGGAAGUGUUGUAAAUGAGCACUAGCAUCUUCGUGUGCCUUCCCACAGAACUGGUUGGAUUGCACCAUGUUGAUAAGUCCAGGCUUGAGCUCAAAGUUGCCAUCGAUCUCUGCAGCAGGUCCAGUGCGGAUGUUGUCCGUAGUGGGAGCUGAGAACUCACGGAUCGAUUUGUUCGCCAUGGCUUCGAACUCUGAAGACAAGUUCCGGUGAUCUUCUUGAUUGGAUGAAGCUUCUUCGUGAAGUGUUGAUGAUUUCUUUAGCUUGGCUCUCGUCUUCUUGAAUAAUGCUUCAGGAUCGUCAACAAAAUUUCCUGGAAGAUAUCUUCUAUUCAUACAUUCCCCUGCAUAAGAUAAAAUAGAAAAAUAUCGGGGUAAAACUGUAUGAGAGAAUAGAUAAGCUCAAUCAUAUUAGUGAUGCGAAUGAUAACUCAAAAUCUUUUAUUCCAUUCCUGAUUGGUAAUCAACCUUCCCCGGCAACGGCGCCAAAAAUGCUUGUUGGGUAUUCUUAACAUCAUUACUAAAAGUAGACUAAGUUCUCUAAAUCUAGCAACGGUGCCAAAAAUGCCAAACCUAUCCCUUACACCACUUAAGCCAAGUUGUCAUCCCCAGCAUGAUAUAAGAGACGCGGUAUUGAAAUAUGCAAUUGCUCUUCUAAAUAAAUAAUGAAUGGGAUCUGCAAGCGCACAGAUUAAUACCGAUGCAGCAUUUUAACCGGGAAGUAUUCCAGGUAUCGUUAUUUAUAUUUUUACCACUGGGAAGGGAUUAACAAUUAUCACUAUUGAUUACAGAAUAGAAUAUGAGAUUGAGCAUCUAUCAUUGCAUGUAUAAUUGAGAACAUUAUAUCUAACUCAUCAUACAGGGAUAAGUGUCACAUAAAAGAUAUAUAAAAUAAUAAUAGUGACAAGGAUAACUAAUCUGAUCUAGCCACAUAAUAAAUAUGAUAAGCACCUCAAUUAGAUACUCUAGAAAGUCAUUAGCAUGGAAUUAGAACGAACUACAAGAAUAUUCCCUAAGUUAUUCUUAACUAUAUAGUCUAGCAUAUCAUAGUUAGUGCAAGCAUACUUAGCAAUCAUUGCGAGACAAGACUACACCCAUGCAUAGUGAUAUUAGCAAGGAAUAUGAGAAACAUAGCAAUCACUCCCCUGUAAUAAUGUUGCUCUGCCAGCCCAAUACACGAGAGGGGGACUAUAUAAGAAUCAAUGAAGCUGUCACUAUCACGAACUACCCCACGAUCUGGCAUAUUGGGUACAAUCGCAGAUAAAUACGGUAUAAGCACCACGCCUACACAAUAUCUAUCAUUUACCCAUGGAUCCGAUGGAUAAACGCUAUACGAUCCUAAGCAUGUAUAUAGAUCGUAUCUAACUAAGCCAAGUACAUAACUAUGAUAAACUAAGAACAAUAUAAUCUUGAAUAUAAGCAAGUAGAGCAAAGUCAUAAGCAAUAUAUUGAAAUAGAACAAAGUCAUAUUCAUAAUAUUGAAGAACAAAGAUAAUUAGAAAGUAAUUAGAAGCACAAUUAGAGAAUUACCAAGAAUCCUCCUUACAGAUCCGGAAACCAAUCGAAGAUUGACUCCUUCUAGUUCUAAUCCUAUGUAGCUAUGCUAAUCUAGAUAUCUAAUUGAUGUGGUGGCUCUAAUCUUGAUCAGAGGCUUCUUCUCCCUUGAUGGAACAAUGAAUUAGGGUUGAGAGGCUCUCUCCUCCAGGGGCCAGGGGGUCUGGUUUUAUAGUCCCUUCAAGUGAAUAUGGGCCCUUAGAUCAAACCGACAUAGAUUGUAUGGUUUAGAUUCAUCCUUUAGGUCGGUGGAGAUCUCCCGCAAAGCAGAGUCCUGAUUGGACUCAGGGGC